RNAcentral lists this ribosomal RNA (424 nucleotides) under Verrucomicrobiota bacterium. RNAcentral's name for it is "Verrucomicrobia bacterium partial 16S ribosomal RNA". It matches the Rfam family "Bacterial small subunit ribosomal RNA", at positions 355 to 776 of the family's 1533-position model. The record is from RNAcentral. RNAcentral also lists the same sequence under 2 other names. Lineage: Bacteria; Pseudomonadati; Verrucomicrobiota.
UGAGGAAUAUUGGUCAAUGGACGGAAGUCUGAACCAGCCAAGUAGCGUGCAGGAUGACGGCCCUAUGGGUUGUAAACUGCUUUUGUAUGGGGAUAAAGUUAGGGACGUGUCCCUAUUUGCAGGUACCAUACGAAUAAGGACCGGCUAAUUCCGUGCCAGCAGCCGCGGUAAUACGGAAGGUCCAGGCGUUAUCCGGAUUUAUUGGGUUUAAAGGGAGCGUAGGCUGGAGAUUAAGUGUGUUGUGAAAUGUAGACGCUCAACGUCUGAAUUGCAGCGCAUACUGGUUUCCUUGAGUACGCACAACGUUGGCGGAAUUCGUCGUGUAGCGGUGAAAUGCUUAGAUAUGACGAAGAACUCCGAUUGCGAAGGCAGCUGACGGGAGCGCAACUGACGCUUAAGCUCGAAGGUGCGGGUAUCAAACAGG